GGCUCAGGAUGAACGCUGGCGGCGUGCCUAAUACAUGCAAGUCGAACGGUCAAUCGCAAGAUUACACUUGUAAAGUGGCGAACGGGUGAGUAACGCGUUGGUGACCUACCCCGAAGAUUGGGAUACCGGUCCGAAAGGGCUGAUAAUACCGAAUGAAGCUCUGAUUUUAGAGGGUCAGAGAAAAAGCUGCACUGUGAGCAAUCCGCUUUGGGAGGGACCUGCGUCCCAUCAGCUAGUUGGAAGGGUAACGGCCUACCAAGGCUUUGACGGGUAGCUGGUCUGAGAGGACGAUCAGCCACACUGGCACUGCGACACGGGCCAGACUCCUACGGGAGGCAGCAGUAAGGAAUAUUGCGCAAUGGGCGAAAGCCUGACGCAGCGACGCCGCGUGGGGGAUGAAGGUCUUCGGAUUGUAAACUCCUUUUGCAGGGGAAGAUAAUGUGGGUAACCACUUGGACGGUACCCUGCGAAUAAGCCACGGCUAACUCUGUGCCAGCAGCCGCGGUAAGACAGAGGUGGCAAGCGUUGUUCGGAAUUACUGGGCUUAAAGGGCGCGUAGGUGGUGGCGUAAGUCUGAGGUGGAAGGUCAGGGCUUAACCCUGAAAUUGCCUUGGAAACUGCAUCACUUGAGUCAGCGAGGGGAUGGCGGAAUUCCCGGUGUAGCGGUGAAAUGCGUAGAUA
This 681-nucleotide ribosomal RNA is filed under the name uncultured nitrite-oxidizing bacterium. RNAcentral describes it as "bacterial SSU rRNA". It matches the Rfam family "Bacterial small subunit ribosomal RNA", at positions 21 to 696 of the family's 1533-position model. The record is from RNAcentral.